UUCGAACCUGCCGCAGGUUCGGGUCUCACGUAGUGAGACAACGGAGCCGCUUGCGGCGACGGCCCGAAGGGCGAGCAAAGCGAGUCAUCCUGCACGACCCACCA
This 104-nucleotide small RNA is filed under the name Salmonella enterica subsp. enterica serovar Heidelberg. RNAcentral describes it as "partial RtT sRNA". It matches the Rfam family "RtT RNA", at positions 23 to 130 of the family's 130-position model. From Rfam's summary of the family: This family represents a bacterial cis-regulatory element known as RtT RNA. The exact function of RtT is unknown although it is thought that it may be involved in changing the cellular response in relation to amino acid starvation. The record is from RNAcentral. RNAcentral also lists the same sequence under 4 other names. Lineage: Bacteria; Pseudomonadati; Pseudomonadota; Gammaproteobacteria; Enterobacterales; Enterobacteriaceae.